RNAcentral lists this ribosomal RNA (196 nucleotides) under uncultured bacterium. Its description in RNAcentral is "partial 16S ribosomal RNA". It matches the Rfam family "Bacterial small subunit ribosomal RNA", at positions 338 to 524 of the family's 1533-position model. The record is from RNAcentral.
CCUACGGGAGGCAGCAGUGGGGAAUAUUGCACAAUGGGCGCAAGCCUGAUGCAGCCAUGCCGCGUGUGUGUGAAGAAGGCCUUCGGGUUGUAAGGCACUUUCAGCGGGGAGGAAGGCGUUAAGGUUAAUAACCUUGGCGAUUGACGUUACCCGCAGAAGAAGCACCGGCUAACUCCGUGCCAGCAGCCGCGGUAAU